This 491-nucleotide ribosomal RNA is filed under the name uncultured bacterium. RNAcentral describes it as "bacterial SSU rRNA". It matches the Rfam family "Bacterial small subunit ribosomal RNA", at positions 30 to 494 of the family's 1533-position model. The record is from RNAcentral.
AUUGAACGCUGGCGGCAGGCCUAACACAUGCAAGUCGAGCGGAAACGAGUUAUCUGAACCUUCGGGGAACGAUAACGGCGUCGAGCGGCGGACGGGUGAGUAAUGCCUAGGAAAUUGCCCUGAUGUGGGGGAUAACCAUUGGAAACGAUGGCUAAUACCGCAUAAUACCUACGGGUCAAAGAGGGGGACCUUCGGGCCUCUCGCGUCAGGAUAUGCCUAGGUGGGAUUAGCUAGUUGGUGAGGUAAUGGCUCACCAAGGCGACGAUCCCUAGCUGGUCUGAGAGGAUGAUCAGCCACACUGGAACUGAGACACGGUCCAGACUCCUACGGGAGGCAGCAGUGGGGAAUAUUGCACAAUGGGCGCAAGCCUGAUGCAGCCAUGCCGCGUGUGUGAAGAAGGCCUUUCGGGUUUGUAAAAGCACUUUCAGUCGUGAGGAAGGUAGUGUAGUUAAUAGCUGCAUUAUUUGACGUUUAGCGACAGAAGAAGCACC